RNAcentral lists this ribosomal RNA (888 nucleotides) under Clostridioides difficile. Its description in RNAcentral is "partial 23S ribosomal RNA". It matches the Rfam family "Bacterial large subunit ribosomal RNA", at positions 10 to 902 of the family's 2925-position model. The record is from RNAcentral. Lineage: Bacteria; Bacillati; Bacillota; Clostridia; Peptostreptococcales; Peptostreptococcaceae.
AUUAAGGGUGCAGGGCGGAUGCCUUGGCACUAGGAGCCGAUGAAGGACGUGAUAAGCUGCGAUAAGCUUCGGGGAGUUGCACGUAAACUUUGAUCCGAAGAUUUCCGAAUGAGGAAACUCACUUAGAGUAAUGUCUAAGUAUCAUUAAGUGAAUACAUAGCUUAAUGAGGGGAACUCAGGGAACUGAAACAUCUAAGUACCUGAAGGAAGAGAAAGAAAUUCGAUUCCGUAAGUAGCGGCGAGCGAACGCGGAUUAGCCCAAACCAAUAAAGUUUUCUUUAUUGGGGUUGCGGACAUAUCAUAACGAAGAGGUAUCGUAAUUGAAGAGGUUUGGAAAGACCCACCACAGAAGGUAAUAGUCCUGUAUGUUAAACGAGAAGACUUUAGAUAUGAUCCAGAGUACCACGGGACACGUGAAACCCUGUGGGAAGCAGGAGGGACCACCCUCCAAGGCUAAAUACUACCUAGUGACCGAUAGCGUAUAGUACCGUGAGGGAAAGGUGAAAAGAACCCCUGGAGGGGAGUGAAAUAGAACCUGAAACCCUGCACUUACAAGCUGUGGAAGCACAUUUCUUGUGUGACCGCGUACUUUUUGUAGAACGGGCCAACGAGUUACGUUAAGUAGCAAGGUUAAGCACUUAAGGUGCGGAGCCGUAGCGAAAGCGAGUUUUAACUGAGCGUUCAGUUACUUGACGUAGACCCGAAACCGGGCGACCUACCCAUGAGCAGGAUGAAGCGAAAGUAAAAUUUCGUGGAGGUCCGAACCCACGAGCGUUGAAAAGCUCGGGGAUGACUUGUGGGUAGCGGUGAAAUUCCAAUCGAGCCCGGAGAUAGCUGGUUCUCCCCGAAAUAGCUUUAGGGCUAGCCUCAAGGUGAGAGAUACGGAGG